GUUACACAGCAGUAUCCAUUCUUCAAGAAUUUUCAGCUGAGUCUCUUAAGAAAAGCUACACUGCCAGCCAGUUCAAGAUGCUCUACCACUUACCAGCAUGUGGGCCUUGUGUAUCCACACCUCCUCAAAGCCAAUCUCCAGAACUGAUGAGAGGAAUUUGCUUCCCUUUCUUAUUGACAUAGGGUUUCCAGUUGUAUUAAAGGAAGCAAAUUGGCAGAUCGACACCAGCAGCUCAUACAGGAUGAUACAGUGUGACGAAUCUCACAGGGAUGAGCCGGGGGACCACCAAAGUACAAUAAACUGAUGAAAACACGACAGGCAAACAGAGACCAUGAUUGAUCAAGAUGCAGAGAACAAUUGACUUUGGAAUGCCAUGUUCCAAUUAAUAUAUCCAGAAUACAAGUCUUGCACCUAAGACUCCGAGAACAUGGCAGAUGACAAUCUAGCAAGAUUAUGAGAGCCAGAGGACUAGGAAAUCUGCUGUGAGAUUGUGCCUUCUAAGAAAGUUAACCUGCAAGAUGUGAAGACUUCCAAGAGCACUUAAUAUGCCAGUUGAUGGAGAAAAUCCCAUAGGGCCUUGACCCUAGAUAAAGACUUAGAGACAGUUAACAGCAGUUGAGAGAGGGAGAAUUAGUCUUCCCUAGAGAUGAGCCCCCUGAUUGGUUAUCCAAUACUGAUUGGCCAAACCUAGAACAUAUAUGUAUAUGUAUAAGCAAUAGUGGUUAAAGACAUGGAGGCUAUAAAUUUAAGGGUCAAUGCCCAACAUUGCAGGGGUAGGAGGGAGGAGAGGGAAGGGAGAAUUGAUACAACUGCAUUUUAAUUUUUGGAAGAGAAGAAAAACAUACUUAUUUCAACGUAUGUUAAUGGGUAAAUUAGGCAAUUUAUAAUAAAUUUCCUAUAUAAGAACUAAAAGAAUAAAUAUGUAGAUUUAUCAAGAAAUGUGUGUGUGUGAGAGAGAGAGAUGCUAUCUUAUUUUCUGAGGCUUAAUUAGAUAAUGUUUUGUUUGUCUCUAUAUGUCACAUUAAUUAAAAGUGUUGAGUGUGUAAAAUUGUAUAUGCAGAGAUCUACAUAGUUAUGAUUUGUAUACUUUGAUAAUAUCUAUAUCUGUAUCAAUCUAUACAAACAUAGAUAGAUAGAUAGAUAGAUAGAUAGAUAGAUAGAUAGAUAAAUAGAUAAAUAGAUAGAUAGAUAGAUUCUUUCUAUAUAUUCUACCUCAAUAAAUCCUCUAGGGAAAACUUACACUUGAGCUCCAGGUUCUAGCUGCACAAACUGGUCAAGCAAAGCUGAUGUGACAGGAGUGAUUAGGCCUUCAAUGGAAGCCAUUCUGUGUCAGGGCCUGAGCCUAGUUACAUGCUGUUUAGAACAGCAGAAAUUGGGCAUAUGUUGAAGAAAAUCACAAGGAGACAUGUCCAUGGCCUGUGAGGGGAAAUGAAGAUCUGAGAACAGCUGGUUAUAUAGGUUCAGAUGCUGCCAGGGAAGCCAAUGUUUAAGGAAAGAAUCUGUAUAAAGCAACAGCUUUAGAAGGAUGAUGAGUGUCAUGCCUUUAUGUUUUCCUUGUAAUUUUCACUUAAACCUUAUUUCUCACUAUUGGUGCCAGCUCUGUAUUUUUCUCUGAUGCUUUGUAGUUGAGUUCAAUGUGUAGUCAGACAAUGCCAGAAAGUGAGGUGCCUGACUCUGUUCAAUGUUCUCUGAUGCAAUAAAGACCUCUGCUUGUUCACUCUUGUACAGCACACACUUGUACCCCUCUGCUGUGAAAAUAAGCUUGCUGUUUCAUUUAUUAAUCAGUAAACAAAGAGUCUAACCUAAUGACUAAAGUAGCUUUCUGAAAAAGUGUUGACAGUUAAAAAAUAAACAACUCAUAUGGAACCCA
Long non-coding RNA from Peromyscus leucopus (white-footed mouse), 1870 nucleotides. RefSeq lists it as uncharacterized. The transcript is spliced from 3 exons. The record is from RefSeq and is a predicted model, not a curated record. NCBI's taxonomy places the organism in Eukaryota, Metazoa, Chordata, Mammalia, Rodentia, Cricetidae.